UACCUAUUUAUACACCCUUGAUCUAACAUAACUACUUCUAAUCUAUACCAUUGGAGCUCAUUAAAAGCCACAUGACUGGGACAUGAGUGUUUUUUAACCUAAUAACAUAUUUAAAGACUCAAUAAAGAACAAAACACUUAAAAAUACAAAUAAACUUGUCUCUGGAUCGACCUUCUUCAUCUCCUCUGCCAAAAUCCAAGGAAGGUACCAGAUUUACCUAACCAUUUCACUGGGAACUUUCCAUCCAUAUUACCAUUCCUAGUAAGUAUCAUUCUUUGAUUGGAGAAAACUCGGCCUUGAUGUAGCGGAUUCCUUCCGAUCAUCGCUAAUAUUCGAAUCCCAUCAUCAAAGCAAUCGAAGUUUUCUUGCUUCCCGAAAGCUUGCCAAUUGAUACUUUUACUCAAACCCUCAAAUUGAUCAGGAAUGACAAAAUUUAUCAUCAACAUGAACAAUAGUCUCUCUUCAUCUUUAAAUUAGCCAGCAUUUCCUUCACAUGCUUGCUUAUCUUCUUCUUUAAUACCUAUUGCAUAUUGAUAAGUAACUGAAUCAAAACCUUCAGAAAGACUUUUCCCCGUCUCACUUGAACCAUCAGUACUUUUGACAAUUCCAUCUUCUGCCAGUAAAUUUACUGCAAACGCUUUGUCUUGAUCACCAUAGUCAAUCCCAUACAAUUGUUGCAUGAUUUAUGUCAUCCUCUCGUGUAACUGUUGUUGUUUCAUUUUCAAAAUCUUCACGGAAAGGAUAGAUCUCUUCAUCAUGAUCUAAGGCAUGAUGCAGUAGCUCUUCCAAUCCACUUUUCUCUGGUCUGGCAUCAUGAAAGGGAUUUUCAUCAAAUAUUAUUAUUAUCAUCCUUGAAACCACCUUCCGGCAUGUCCAGGAUCGCAGUGACCUUCUGGAUUCUUCAUAUGGGCUUUCACAGUUUCCUGUCACUGCAAAGUUUGAACAGCCUGCAACAAGUCUUCAAUCAUACAUCACAUCUCAGCCAUCUCUAUUUGUUGAGCUUGAUUGCCUCUUCCAUGACCUCUUCCCCGUCCGACCAUCAUGUCGAAACGAAAACCGUAAUUGCAAGUUGGAAUUGUUGUAGCUCUAAUACCAAUUAAUAAAGGAAAACCGUAACAAGGGGAUCUAAUACCAAUUUGAUGAGGUUGGAGAAUUGAAAGAUAGCAAAAAGAAUUAAAACAACUUGAAGAUGGAACAGAGAAUGGUUAUUCUAGGA
Syzygium oleosum is the source of this 1216-nucleotide long non-coding RNA. RefSeq lists it as uncharacterized. Lineage: Eukaryota; Viridiplantae; Streptophyta; Magnoliopsida; Myrtales; Myrtaceae. The record is from RefSeq and is a predicted model, not a curated record. The transcript has 2 exons.